Molecule: ribosomal RNA, 241 nt
Filed under: uncultured bacterium
Lineage: Bacteria
Description: partial 16S ribosomal RNA
Rfam family: Bacterial small subunit ribosomal RNA
Source: RNAcentral
CGACCGGCGCACGGGUGCGUAACGCGUAUGCAACCUACCUUUAACAGGGGGAGUAACACUGAGAAAUUGGUACUAAUACCCAUAAUAUCAUAGAAGGCAUCUUUUAUGGUUGAAAAUUCCGAUGGUUAGAGAUGGGCAUGCGUUGUAUUAGCUAGUUGGUGGGGUAACGGCUCACCAAGGCGACGAUACAUAGGGGGACUGAGAGGUUAACCCCCCACACUGGUACUGAGACACGGACCAG